GCAGUGAGGUGGGUGACGACAUGUGGGUUUGUGAUCUUAUUACCGAAGAUGGUACGCGCUGGAGAGCGUAGAAGAUCACUCGACUUUUUGGUAGCCCUCUUACUGAUCGGUUCUCACCAUCUCGAUUCCUGUGCACCCCAAUCGGGAUGUUAGGGUGUAGGGUCAUUCAUGCUGUCUAAAGGUUCCCUCAAGGGACUUCACCCUGAUGUGCAGUCUAGC
Molecule: long non-coding RNA, 219 nt
Filed under: Elaeis guineensis (African oil palm)
Lineage: Eukaryota; Viridiplantae; Streptophyta; Magnoliopsida; Arecales; Arecaceae
Description: long non-coding RNA (EGUI_LNC006940)
Source: RNAcentral